RNAcentral lists this ribosomal RNA (617 nucleotides) under uncultured Alphaproteobacteria bacterium. RNAcentral's name for it is "bacterial SSU rRNA". It matches the Rfam family "Bacterial small subunit ribosomal RNA", at positions 28 to 692 of the family's 1533-position model. Lineage: Bacteria; Pseudomonadati; Pseudomonadota; Alphaproteobacteria. The record is from RNAcentral.
AACGAACGCUGGCGGCAGGCCUAAUACAUGCAAGUCGAGCGCGCCCUUCGGGGUGAGCGGCGGACGGGUGAGUAACGCGUGGGAAUAUGCCCUUCUCUAAGGAAUAGCCUCUGGAAACGGAGAGUAAUACCUUAUACGCCCUUUGGGGGAAAGAUUUAUCGGAGAAGGAUUAGCCCGCGUUAGAUUAGGUAGUUGAUGGGGUAAUGGCCUACCAAGUCUACGAUCUUUAGCUGGUUUUAGAGGAUGAUCAGCAACACUGGGACUGAGACACGGCCCAGACUCCUACGGGAGGCAGCAGUGGGGAAUCUUAGACAAUGGGCGCAAGCCUGAUCUAGCCAUGCCGCGUGUGUGAUGAAGGCCUUAGGGUCGUAAAGCACUUUCGCUAGGGAUGAUAAUGACAGUACCUAGUAAAGAAACCCCGGCUAACUCCGUGCCAGCAGCCGCGGUAAUACGGAGGGGGUUAGCGUUGUCCGGAAUUACUGGGCGUAAAGCGUACGUAGGCGGAUUAAUAAGUUAGAGGUGAAAUCCCAGGGCUCAACCCUGGAACUGCCUUUAAAACUGUUAGUCUUGAGAUCGAGAGAGGUGAGUGAAUUCCAAGUGUAGAGGUGAAAUUCGUA